This is a long non-coding RNA of Gallus gallus (chicken), 5675 nucleotides long. The record is from Ensembl. NCBI's taxonomy places the organism in Eukaryota, Metazoa, Chordata, Aves, Galliformes, Phasianidae.
CUAAAGCAGCCGGCUGCAACGCUGCAGCCUCCCCACACCUGAUUACAGGGCGGGCGGGCUGCUCAGGGACAGAGGGCUCCGAAGCUUGGGACACACACCCCGAGUACGGGGCUGUCACCGCCGCCAGCAGGACAGGCGGCCACGCAAGGACAGGCCCAAGCCCUGGCUACAGGGAGGCCUUGGCCACAGAACUACCGUGUGGCUCUGAUCUGCUCUAAGGAAAAUAGUAGGAAGACAGGACACUCGCUGCGCUCGCAGGACUAAGAGGGAACACCCCUUUUGCGGCAUGCACCAAAGUCCUCCAUUCCCCCCUGGGAAGUCAAAGCUAAGCUUUUUCUGUCCAACAGCGUACAACUCCCUCAGCAAUAAAUCCACUUGCCCUUAUUACCAAUAUCCUACCCUGUUUUACUUCCCAGGAAAACAACGACAACAACAACGAUACAUCCCCAACCCACAGAGCAAGGACAUGCACAAUGCUGGGUUUUAUCCCUCUGUUAAAACAAAUAAAACUAAAAAUCAGAACCGAAGAAAAUGCUUGCAGAGUUCUCUGUCAGUUCUGUAGCCAUUUACAGACCACCACCACCAAGGGCACCUCGUUGAGAAGACUGAAACAUCCCCGCCUUGUAAUUGUAUCACAGUUGUGAAAAUCAAAUUCAUUUCCAAACAUUUCCCUAAGAUGUUCAAAGCCUGGACCGCCAAAGCAAAAUGCACCAAGACCCCAGCAUUUCAUCUAGCUGUCUAAAAUAUUAAACUUUUCAUAUAUGCGGGAUUGGAAUGCGUCCUUCUCCAAGUGCACUUCAGAGCGCUCGCCCCACAUCAGCAACGGUAGUUCCGGCAUACUGCAAUUUCCCAAUCCCCACGGGAAUGCCUGCAAGGAUUCCAUCUGAAGGUUUAGGCGACAUCCAAAGUUAGUGGGCGCUUCAGCAGCUGAAAUAGAAAUGCUGUUCAGCUCCCCGGCCAUAUUUUCCAGACCGUGCCUCUAAUAAGAACAGUACACUUGCAUGCGUUCCUGAACUACAAUGGGACAGGACAGUGAUUAAAGUAGUGAAGCAUAGCGCAGUAUCUCUCUGGUAACAUACAUUGUGUAUGGAAUGGAGCGUAAAGGGAAAUGAGAUGAACUUUGUACAGCUCACCUUAAUUAAGUCGUGUCCCGAUGGAAAUUAAUUUGAAUGUUAAAAGCAUGUAUAUACAUUGUCUGAGCUUUCUCUCAGUGCCCACUUCAAGCCACAUGCACUGUCCCGGGUCUGUCAGUUCCGGGUGUUCACAUACAUUCUCCUAUUCAUCCAGCUGGCCGUCACUUUGUAUCUUGCAAGUGGUUAACAGCAAAUUCUAUGGACAGUAAGAGUUACAUCUUAGCACCUUUCCAAACAUCUGCCAGCCAGCACACCACGCUUCAGCCCGACCACAGGCUUCUGAAUUUCACACUGUUUCAGGAGGUUUUAUUAAAUUAAGACUGUGGAGCACCAUGUUUUUGCCGGCCCCUAGUUUUACUUUGGUUUGUAGUCCCCCUGAGCAGUGAAGGUCUGCACGUUUGUUCCAACAAGACUUAUUUUUCUUAUUAAUUAAUUUAUUUUUUUUUUCCUUUUUCUUUUGUUCGGAAUUGGGGCGAUGGAAAGCGGAGCGGAGACGCACCCAUCGGGGGCCCCUGGAAACCGUUAAGGCCGGGAACGUUCUUCGGAGGGGAGACGCUCUAUCGCGCCGGUCGCGUCGGAUGCAAAGCGACCCGUUUGAAUUGGCACAAUUACUUAACUUAUCGAUGAAUCCCACAGUGCGGCGAGAAGGAGAAGCGCGUAACAAACUGUACUUCAAAGUGUAAUUUAAGUCCCUAAUUCAGAUCCGGAGUCCGCACGUCAAACUGUCAGAGCCCCGGGCCGUCCCUAACGAGGCCGGCUGCGCUAAGGAGGCAACGACUCCCAGGUGCCGCGGGGCCGCGGCCGGCCGGGCGCAGCUGCGCCUCGUCGGGAGCCGCGGGCGGGGCCCGCCCCAAAGCCUCUUAAGCUCCUCCGGAGGCUGCCGGGAGCCACGGGGGAGUUUCUGCGGUUGUGGAUAGGAGACGGAGUGAGUUCUGUUUCUUUGUCGGGCCCUGACGCUGCUGAGGCUGAGAAGCGGCUGCUGUGAGACCUUUCGCGGUAAGGACCAGCCCAAACAGGUGAGCGGUUCGAGUAGUAAGGGGACGGUGAGCGCUCGGGAGCCGCCAGGAUCUCCGGAGCAGGCGGCUGUCGGACCCCGCUCUUCUCGGGGCCGGCGUUAGGUCGCCGCCGGGCUCCCCCGGCUGUGCGGAGCCGAUACGGCAUCGCCGCCGUCGCCCGGCCGCCGUCGCAUUCUUGGAGGCGGCUGCCGCUCAGACCCCCGAGUUCUCGCGCAGCCCCGGGGUGCUCUCAGCCCCCCCCAUCCUCGGGAUUUCUUUCAGCGGGUGCUUCAGUUCUUCAGGCUCUCCUCGGCUGAGCGAGGGCUGCAGCAGAGGCUCUCAUCGGCCCGAAGCAGUGAGCUCGUGGAAGCGGUGAGUGUUUGAGAGUCGCUCGGUAAGAUCUCUCGUGUUGGGGCUCCUGUAGGGUUGCUGCUCGACUGCCUCUGUCUUUGGGAUCGGCACGGCGCCGCCGCUGGGCUCCCGUGUGGCUUUUUAGUAGGACCGGCACGGGGCCUCCGCCCGAGACCGAGCACGAUCCCGGGGUGGCCUCGGCCACUGCGGAGUGUUUUGCGGGUGCUCUCACCCAUCCCGUUUCCAGCGGUGGGAGCGAGCAGGUUGGGACCGUGGUUUUUUUUUUUCCCGCCUCUUCCUUCCCGUGUAACUGCAGGAGCACGAUUUAGGUUCCCAUCGUGGAGACCUGGCAGGGCAGCUCGCACGACUGGAGUGCUGUCGUGGAUGGCUCUGUUCUUUUUAGGAAAGACAGACCGGCCAGGCGGUGGAGUCUCUCUUCGAGGGAGAGAACGGGAACGUAUCGAGCUCCACCUAGGGGUGAAUGAAGAACCAGCGGAGCGUUUGUGCGUGAGGCUGAAGAGGCAGGUAAAAGUGGGUAACAUGAGUGGUGGUGUUGGUCACAGACCAGGGUGAGGAAGCUGAUAGACCUUCUGCACACAGCUGGAAAUGGUGCCCACAGCUGUGAGGCUAGUUCUCAUGGUAGGCUCCAGGAGUUUCCUGCAAUGUGUCAAAGGUAAGAUCUUCUGACACAGGUGAUGAAGGAGGCAUUGAGGAGAGGGGCUGCUGGAGCUCCCUAUUGCAGAAGAGCCAUUUGGGGACAGGAAGGCCAGGGGCAGCCUGGAGCGUGCCAGUCGUGAGACCACAGUGUUUGGGAUCUUGUGUGGAAGCUGCAAAGCAAUGAGUAGGAUUGAAACACUGGACUUGGAGGGAGCCAAGUUUGUCCUCUUGAAGGGCCUACUUGGAGGUAACCCUUGCUCAAGCAUAGGAAGGGGUCCUGUGAAUGCUGGAGCAUUACUUCGUCCAUGCUGAGGUGCGCUGCGUCCCAAGGAGGAAGGAACUGCGCCGGAAUGGUGGGGGACCUGCAGGGCUGACUGAGGAACUUGAAGGGGAGAAGGAAGAGAGAGGCUGAGGAAGGCCAAGUCCCUCUGAGUAUCAGCUUUGGGAGGGAGGUCAAGGCUAAUGGAAGUUUGUCAACAGGAGAGACUGGAGAAAUUGCAGGCCUGUGCUUUACAAGGCGGAGGCCUCUUGGGUUUCAGUGGUUUCUGCUGAGAGUGCUCCUGGGGAACCUGGGGUCCUGGAGGAGAGAGUCCCUGAGGAAGGAUGUCUUCCCCUCAGUUGCGGAGGAGCUGGUCAAAGGUAGUUCAGGCAGAAAGGAGGCCAGCAAAUCUCUGAGCUGUAGAGGGCUAUGUCUGUGCCCGCUGAGAGCUGGCAGCGGUGACUGGCAAUAGCUCUCUGUCACUUUUUCCCUGCUGUUUCCUGUGGGAAAGGUACCUGAAGACUGGAGGAUGGCGGAUGCCACCGCAGCCUUCAGAAAGGGUGUGGAGGAUGGCGUGUGCAACUUGGAGGUAGGUUGGCCUCAUGUCUGUUCCUGGGGAGGUGACGCAACAGCUUGUUGCAGGUGUCAUUGCCAUGUGACUGGAGGAGAAGGUAUUUGCAAGGAGCAGUCCAGGUGGAUGGACAGAGGAGAAGUCAUGCCGGACCAAAAGGGUGAAGGCUGCAGAGAGGAUUGGCUGGAGCAGGUGUGCAGUUUUCCCAGUGGUGGGAUGAAGGAGGUUCAGGCUGGAGGCAGGAUCCUGGUGGUGUGAGUGGGGCGCCCCUGUGGAGCAAGGGUGGAAGGUGUGUGGCAGGUCCUGUCCCGGAGGAGUGGAGUUAAGGGUCCUGGCGUGGCUGUUUUCCUGCAUGGAAGAUGGAGAUCCUGGGAGCUGUGAUGAGGAGGAGCAGAGCCAGCAGUGGCUCCUGUGUGGCAAUGGCUGCUUUGUGUGGUGCUCCUGGGCUGAAAAGAGGAGGAGAAAAAAGUUUUUAGUGUUGUUCUUCAAAGCUCAGUUUCCCUUCAGCAAGAAGCUAUGGGGAGCUUCUAGGUCUAAUGCUGUUCCUCUGCUUUUGAGCUGAAUUUCUGCACGGCAGCCUUUCUCGAAUGCAGUAGGGCUUCCCUGGCUUGAAGAUGGGUGUGCUGUCCUGAGGGAGGAGCAGUGUUGACUGUCUUACAGUGACCUUCUGCUUUCCUUUAAGAAGAGUCCACUAAGAACUGUAUUGGGUUUUUCAAUGAUAGAGAUCUCAAACAAAGGUCGCUGUUUAAGACUGUGUGACGUUCAACGGCAGAAUCUGGAACGCUCACCCAUAGCAGGGCACAUCUGAAUCAGUUUGAGACAUGAUUACAUUUAGUAACAUAAUACAUUAUCUCCUCAAGAGUUUCUGCUAGAAUCCAGACUCUAAACGAAGCUUUGGGUCCCUCACAUUGCCCUGUCAUGGGCCAUAAUGUAGUCUUUUAUCAUCGUACUUUUCAAUUAGAUCAUGACUUUUAACAUGCGGAGUUGGAAAUUCUGGUUACCCAUGAAAAACUAUUAAAAGAUAGUGCCUGGAAAACAUAGAAGCCAUCCAAACACUCUGGUGCUGUAGGAAAUAUGUCCCUGUGCAGCUCUCCCAUGGGAAGGGUGUCGUCGCUUCCAGGCUUUUGUGGCAAUCAGUACCUACGUGGCUGCUUAACAGGCAGAAGCCCUAAUAAUAAGCAUCUCAUUAGAAGAGCAGUAAACGGUUCUGUCACUGAUUUGGAAAAUGUUGAGACGAAGCAGCGUUUCCCCUCGUGGGAGACUCAGGAUCCCUCAAAAACAUCACUAACGUGUUCCUUCAGGUCAGCCAGGCCCCUAGCGCUUCGGUUUCUUAUCUGGAAUCCCAGCGAAACAGACUCAAGUGCCUCCCUGCAGAAGGUUGAUUUUGGGAGGCUCGUUCUCUUCAUUAGGCUUGGAUGACCUUUCUGAGGCUGAACAAGAGUACAAAACCUGUGAGUUAAAUGGGUGGAACAAAACUACAGCUGCUGCACCUUACCGGGCCGAGAGUUGUGACCUGAUCUUCCAUCUUUUACACAAAAUGAGUCAGAUAUUCAGCUUGCUGCCACAAAUUCAUGAGUGGAUGGAAAUGCUUAACAAAGUGAUAAUGAAUCUCUCUGAAUGUCUACAUGGUUCCCACCAGUGCAAAGACUCACCCAGUGCUAAAAGUAAUUCACUACAGUGUGAAAAAAAAAAUAAAUAAAUCAUUCUCC